GACGAACGCUGGCGGCGUGCCUAACACAUGCAAGUCGAACGAGGUCCAUCCAGUGGCAACACUGGGGACGACCUAGUGGCGAACGGGUGAGUAACACGUGAGGAACUUGCCCCGGAGACCGGGAUAAGCCCCCGAAAGGGGGUCUAAUACCGGAUGCCCUCACCGAGUCGCAUGGCUUGGUGAGGAAAUGGAUUCCGCUCCGGGAGAGCCUCGCGGCCUAUCAGCUUGUUGGUGGGGUAACGGCCCACCAAGGCGUCGACGGGUAGCUGGUCUGAGAGGACGAUCAGCCACACUGGGACUGAGACACGGCCCAGACUCCUACGGGAGGCAGCAGUGGGGAAUCUUGCGCAAUGGGCGAAAGCCUGACGCAGCAACGCCGCGUGCGGGAUGAAGGCCCUCGGGUUGUAAACCGCUUUCAGUGGGGACGAACCAAGACGGUACCCACAGAAGAAGGUCCGGCCAACUACGUGCCAGCAGCCGCAGUAA
RNAcentral lists this ribosomal RNA (486 nucleotides) under uncultured bacterium. Its description in RNAcentral is "partial 16S ribosomal RNA". It matches the Rfam family "Bacterial small subunit ribosomal RNA", at positions 28 to 523 of the family's 1533-position model. The record is from RNAcentral.